AGCGUACACGGUGGAUGCCCUGGCAGUCAGAGGCGAUGAAGGACGUGCUAAUCUGCGAUAAGCGUCGGUGAGGUGAUAUGAACCGUUAUAACCGGCGAUUUCCGAAUGGGGAAACCCAGUGUGUUUCGACACACUAUCAUUAACUGAAUCCAUAGGUUAAUGAGGCGAACCGGGGGAACUGAAACAUCUAAGUACCCCGAGGAAAAGAAAUCAACCGAGAUUCCCCCAGUAGCGGCGAGCGAACGGGGAGGAGCCCAGAGCCUGAAUCAGUGUGUGUGUUAGUGGAAGCGUCUGGAAAGGCGCGCGAUACAGGGUGACAGCCCCGUACACAAAAAUGCACAUAUUGUGAGCUCGAUGAGUAGGGCGGGACACGUGGUAUCCUGUCUGAAUAUGGGGGGACCAUCCUCCAAGGCUAAAUACUCCUGACUGACCGAUAGUGAACCAGUACCGUGAGGGAAAGGCGAAAAGAACCCCGGCGAGGGGAGUGAAAAAGAACCUGAAACCGUGUACGUACAAGCAGUGGGAGCCUCUUAAUGGGGUGACUGCGUACCUUUUGUAUAAUGGGUCAGCGACUUAUAUUCUGUAGCAAGGUUAACCGAAUAGGGGAGCCGAAGGGAAACCGAGUCUUAACUGGGCGUUAAGUUGCAGGGUAUAGACCCGAAACCCGGUGAUCUAGCCAUGGGCAGGUUGAAGGUUGGGUAACACUAACUGGAGGACCGAACCGACUAAUGUUGAAAAAUUAGCGGAUGACUUGUGGCUGGGGGUGAAAGGCCAAUCAAACCGGGAGAUAGCUGGUUCUCCCCGAAAGCUAUUUAGGUAGCGCCUCGUGAAUUCAUCUCCGGGGGUAGAGCACUGUUUCGGCAAGGGGGUCAUCCCGACUUACCAACCCGAUGCAAACUGCGAAUACCGGAGAAUGUUAUCACGGGAGACACACGGCGGGUGCUAACGUCCGUCGUGAAGAGGGAAACAACCCAGACCGCCAGCUAAGGUCCCAAAGUCAUGGUUAAGUGGGAAACGAUGUGGGAAGGCCCAGACAGCCAGGAUGUUGGCUUAGAAGCAGCCAUCAUUUAAAGAAAGCGUAAUAGCUCACUGGUCGAGUCGGCCUGCGCGGAAGAUGUAACGGGGCUAAACCAUGCACCGAAGCUGCGGCAGCGACACUAUGUGUUGUUGGGUAGGGGAGCGUUCUGUAAGCCUGUGAAGGUGGCCUGUGAGGGUUGCUGGAGGUAUCAGAAGUGCGAAUGCUGACAUAAGUAACGAUAAAGCGGGUGAAAAGCCCGCUCGCCGGAAGACCAAGGGUUCCUGUCCAACGUUAAUCGGGGCAGGGUGAGUCGACCCCUAAGGCGAGGCCGAAAGGCGUAGUCGAUGGGAAACAGGUUAAUAUUCCUGUACUUGGUGUUACUGCGAAGGGGGGACGGAGAAGGCUAUGUUGGUCGGGCGACGGUUGUCCCGGUUUAAGCGUGUAGGCUGGUUUUCCAGGCAAAUCCGGAAAACCAAGGCUGAGGCGUGAUGACGAGGCACUACGGUGCUGAAGUGACAAAUGCCCUGCUUCCAGGAAAAGCCUCUAAGCAUCAGGUAACAUCAAAUCGUACCCCAAACCGACACAGGUGGUCAGGUAGAGAAUACCAAGGCGCUUGAGAGAACUCGGGUGAAGGAACUAGGCAAAAUGGUGCCGUAACUUCGGGAGAAGGCACGCUGAUAUGUAGGUGAAGCGACUUGCUCGUGGAGCUGAAAUCAGUCGAAGAUACCAGCUGGCUGCAACUGUUUAUUAAAAACACAGCACUGUGCAAACACGAAAGUGGACGUAUACGGUGUGACGCCUGCCCGGUGCCGGAAGGUUAAUUGAUGGGGUUAGCGGUAACGCGAAGCUCUUGAUCGAAGCCCCGGUAAACGGCGGCCGUAACUAUAACGGUCCUAAGGUAGCGAAAUUCCUUGUCGGGUAAGUUCCGACCUGCACGAAUGGCGUAAUGAUGGCCAGGCUGUCUCCACCCGAGACUCAGUGAAAUUGAACUCGCUGUGAAGAUGCAGUGUACCCGCGGCAAGACGGAAAGACCCCGUGAACCUUUACUAUAGCUUGACACUGAACAUUGAGCCUUGAUGUGUAGGAUAGGUGGGAGGCUUUGAAGUGUGGACGCCAGUCUGCAUGGAGCCGACCUUGAAAUACCACCCUUUAAUGUUUGAUGUUCUAACGUUGGCCCGUAAUCCGGGUUGCGGACAGUGUCUGGUGGGUAGUUUGACUGGGGCGGUCUCCUCCUAAAGAGUAACGGAGGAGCACGAAGGUUGGCUAAUCCUGGUCGGACAUCAGGAGGUUAGUGCAAUGGCAUAAGCCAGCUUGACUGCGAGCGUGACGGCGCGAGCAGGUGCGAAAGCAGGUCAUAGUGAUCCGGUGGUUCUGAAUGGAAGGGCCAUCGCUCAACGGAUAAAAGGUACUCCGGGGAUAACAGGCUGAUACCGCCCAAGAGUUCAUAUCGACGGCGGGGUUUGGCACCUCGAUGUCGGCUCAUCACAUCCUGGGGCUGAAGUAGGUCCCAAGGGUAUGGCUGUUCGCCAUUUAAAGUGGUACGCGAGCUGGGUUUAGAACGUCGUGAGACAGUUCGGUCCCUAUCUGCCGUGGGCGCUGGAGAACUGAGGGGGGCUGCUCCUAGUACGAGAGGACCGGAGUGGACGCAUCACUGGUGUUCGGGUUGUCAUGCCAAUGGCACUGCCCGGUAGCUAAAUGCGGAAGAGAUAAGUGCUGAAAGCAUCUAAGCACGAAACUUGCCCCGAGAUGAGUUCUCCCUGACUCCUUGA
This 2787-nucleotide ribosomal RNA is filed under the name human gut metagenome. Its description in RNAcentral is "bacterial LSU rRNA". It matches the Rfam family "Bacterial large subunit ribosomal RNA". The record is from RNAcentral.